RNAcentral lists this ribosomal RNA (416 nucleotides) under uncultured bacterium. RNAcentral's name for it is "bacterial SSU rRNA". It matches the Rfam family "Bacterial small subunit ribosomal RNA", at positions 355 to 768 of the family's 1533-position model. The record is from RNAcentral.
UAGGGAAUAUUGGACAAUGGGUGAGAGCCUGAUCCAGCCAUGCCGCGUGCAGGAAGAAGGCGUUAUGCGUUGUAAACUGCUUUUUGCCAGGGGAUAAAAAGACCGUGCGCGGUUAAUUGAAGGUACCUGGUGAAUAAGCCACGGCUAACUACGUGCCAGCAGCCGCGGUAAUACGUAGGUGGCAAGCGUUGUCCGGAUUUAUUGGGUUUAAAGGGUGCGUAGGUGGCCCUGUAAGUCAGUGGUGAAAUAUCUCAGCUUAACUGAGAGGGUGCCAUUGAUACUGCAGGGCUUGAGUACAGAUGAGGUAGGCGGAAUUGACGGUGUAGCGGUGAAAUGCAUAGAUAUCGUCAAGAACACCGAUAGCGAAGGCAGCUUACCAAGCUGUAACUGACACUGAGGCACGAAAGUGUGGGGAU